This 666-nucleotide ribosomal RNA is filed under the name uncultured bacterium. RNAcentral's name for it is "bacterial SSU rRNA". It matches the Rfam family "Bacterial small subunit ribosomal RNA", at positions 207 to 888 of the family's 1533-position model. The record is from RNAcentral.
GCGGGGUGCCGGCAGGUCGACGAUUCGCGGCCUAUCAGCUUGUUGGUGAGGUAAUGGCUCACCAAGGCUAUGACGGGUAGUUGGUCUGGGAGGAUGAUCAGCUACAAUGGGACUGAGACACGGCCCAUACUCCUACGGGAGGCAGCAGUUAGGAAUUUUGCGCAAUGGACGAAAGUCUGACGCAGCAAUACCGCGUGAAGGAUGAAGACUUUAGGGUUGUAAACUUCUUUUCUAAGGGACGAAGUCUGACGGUACCUUAGGAAUAAGCUCCGGCUAAAUACGUGCCAGCAGCCGCGGUAAUACGUAUGGAGCAAGCGUUAUCCGGAUUUAUUGGGCGUAAAGAGUCUGUAGGUGGUUUACCAAGUUGGAGAUGAAAUACAUAGGCUUAACUUAUGGAACGUUUCCAAAACUGGUAGACUAGAGGCAAGGAGAGGCAAGCGGAACUUGUGGUGUAGGGGUAAAAUCCGUAGAUAUCACAGGGAACGCCGAUGGCGAAAGCAGCUUGCUGGCCUUGUCCUGACACUGAGAGACGAAAGCGUGGGUAGCGAACGGGAUUAGAUACCCCGGUAGUCCACGCCGUAAACGAUGGGUACUAGAUAUUAGCUGUAUCGACCCAGCUAGUGUCGUAGCUAACGCGUUAAGUACCCCGCCUGGGGAGUACGGAAU